CUCACUGUAUGACCCGCUACGGUCGUGGUCUGCUGGUAUAUCCGCUUUAUGAUUUAACAGAAAUAGACAAAACGCGUCGAGAGAAAAAGUUCGAAGAUCAUUGUUACCGAUAGCCAUCGCCGCUCGACACGCCAAAAUUAGAAAACAGGCUGACUGUCGAGCCGUUGUCGAGAUUUAAUUCACUCAGGGUCAUGAUUGUGUCGAUGCGGUAGUUGUGUUGAUUCGGAUAGCGCAGGACACGGAUAUAUAAUCAAGCAACGCGCUGGAUUGAUUCGACUACUCCAAAGUAUAAGCGAGUACUGGCUAUGUGACACAAGUCACGCGGAAAGACAACGUGACAUUUGAGUGCGGUUCGUUGUCUUCUUCGUUGGCCUGCCACCGCGUCACGUAGCACAUGGGAGAAGGGAGCGCCGCUCCAGGGUGAUGUGAAGCCUUCUGCAGAAGAGCGGUUGUACUGCCUUUCGAUUCUCGAAAGGCUUGUUGUGACAUGCUCCAUCCUUCUACACAUAUAUACCAAGUAAUGCAAAACCUGGCACCUUACGCUUUUCCCGUUUUACGUCCGGUAUCGCCGUUAGGCAUUCCAUUAGACGCGUGACUCCCAGCACGAAACGAAGUCUGUCCGUGCCCGGGCUCGAACCCAGGCGACAACAUGUCCUUAAGUACAUGACUAUACACAGUAUCGGCAGUUCUGAAACAUUUCAGUAAAGGCCUGUGACGACGCUAUCACCUACGAGCUCCAGAAAGCAAAUGACAGCCCAAAUUCAGGUAUCAUAGAGUGCUGCGACCACCGCAGUGUUUAACGGUAACAAAAUGCCGCUGAAAAUGGAAAUGCCUUUUUACAGUCUACAACAUAUACUAUCUACGAAAGCAAGAUAUUGCCGUCAGCAAACACGACAGAAGACUAUGUUCUAGUUUGCGAAAUUAGAAGUACAUUAAUUGAACGGAGACAUUACCAUGACCAAGGCCAAA
Molecule: long non-coding RNA, 969 nt
Organism: Varroa destructor (honeybee mite)
Lineage: Eukaryota; Metazoa; Arthropoda; Arachnida; Mesostigmata; Varroidae
Source: RefSeq, a predicted model, not a curated record